GACGAACGCUGGCGGCGUGCUUAACACAUGCAAGUCGAACGAUGAAGCCGGAGCUUGCUCUGGUGAAUUAGUGGCGAACGGGUGAGUAACACGUGAGUAACCUGCCCUUGACUCUGGGAUAACUGCGGGAAACUGUAGCUAAUACCGGAUACGACCCUCGGAGGCAUCUCCUGGGGGUGGAAAGAAUUUCGGUCAAGGAUGGACUCGCGGCCUAUCAGCUAGUUGGUGAGGUAAAGGCUCACCAAGGCGACGGCGGGUAGCCGGCCUGGGAGGGGGGCCGGCCACACUGGGGCUGAGACACGGCCCGGACUACUACGGGAGGAAGCAGUGGGGAAUUUGGCACAAUGGGCGCAAGCCUGAUGCAGCAACGCCGCGUGAGGGAUGACGGCCUUCGGGUUGUAAACCUCUUUUAGCAGGGAAGAAGCGAAAGUGACGGUACCUGCAGAAAAAGCACCGGCUAACUACGUGCCAGCCGCCGCCGUAA
This 484-nucleotide ribosomal RNA is filed under the name uncultured bacterium. RNAcentral's name for it is "partial 16S ribosomal RNA". It matches the Rfam family "Bacterial small subunit ribosomal RNA", at positions 28 to 523 of the family's 1533-position model. The record is from RNAcentral.